This is a non-coding RNA of Cladorrhinum sp. PSN332, 106 nucleotides long. NCBI's taxonomy places the organism in Eukaryota, Fungi, Ascomycota, Sordariomycetes, Sordariales, Podosporaceae. The record is from the annotation of a GenBank genome assembly.
GGGAGCUUGGCUCAGUUGGAAGAGCGCAGGUCUCAUAUUUCGAAAUAUGAUCCAGCUUAACGCUGGAGUAAUCCUGAGGUCGUGAGUUCGAGCCUCACAGUUCCCA